GACAAGAAAUAACAAUACGGGGCUUAAUGUCUUGUAAUUGGAAUGAUGGGAAUUUAAACCUCUUCCAGAGUAUCAAUUGGAGGGCAAGUCUGGUGCCAGCAGCCGCGGUAAUUCCAGCUCCAAUAGCGUAUAUUAAAUUUGUUGCAGUUAAAAAGCUCGUAGUUGAAUUUCUGCUGCAUUACAUUUCUCUUGUUUGAGUUUGUUAUUGUGGCUUAUUUCGGAUUGAUUUUUAUCUUUCCGGAUGAUUACUUUGAAAAAAUUAGAGUGCUCAAAGCAGGCUUUUGCCUUGAAUAGUUUAGCAUGGAAUAAUAAAGUAGGACUUUGGUUCUAUUUUGUUGGUUUUAGGUACCAAAGUAAUGGUUAAUAGGAACAGUUGGGGGCAUUCGUAUUUAACUGUCAGAGGUGAAAUUCUUAG
This 415-nucleotide ribosomal RNA is filed under the name Theileria orientalis. RNAcentral describes it as "SSU rRNA". It matches the Rfam family "Eukaryotic small subunit ribosomal RNA", at positions 469 to 923 of the family's 1831-position model. Lineage: Eukaryota; Apicomplexa; Aconoidasida; Piroplasmida; Theileriidae. The record is from RNAcentral.